CCCACACGGAACAAAGGACCCAUACGACAACACACAACACAGAAGGGAUGACCCCAUGACGCGGGUUACACCUAGACAGAGGAGCAACCACAUGACAAACCAAAGAUGGUAGAAACAAAUGGACAAUGGGACACCACACCACCCCCCUCCGAGACGGGAUCGACACUCACAACACAUUAUUUAAAUCUAUUAUAGUAAGGAGAUGGGUACCCUAACUAAAC
Non-coding RNA from Pelobates cultripes (western spadefoot toad), 221 nucleotides. NCBI's taxonomy places the organism in Eukaryota, Metazoa, Chordata, Amphibia, Anura, Pelobatidae. The record is from the annotation of a GenBank genome assembly.